This 1154-nucleotide long non-coding RNA is filed under the name Oncorhynchus mykiss (rainbow trout). RNAcentral's name for it is "lncRNA (ENSOMYG00000003915.2)". The record is from RNAcentral. Lineage: Eukaryota; Metazoa; Chordata; Actinopteri; Salmoniformes; Salmonidae.
ACAGCAGCAUUGUCCCUGACUCCCAGCCUACCAUGAAAACAGAGAGUACUAUGUAAGUACAUGGUCUCUGUCAUUCAAAUUACAAUUGAUUUAAAAUCUGAUUUUGAAUCAGACAUGUUUACUCAUAGAGGAGCUUUGAGACCGUGUGUGCGUGCGUGCAUCUCUGUGUGUGUUCGAACAGAUUCUCCCACUGGAGGAAAGUGUCUGUAUCUGAGAUGCUGCUGCCGGUACAGAGAGGCUUCCAGAAGGCACUGCCCAAACCAGAACUUGAGAACGUAGAGCAACAGGAGCGUCCGUCAUCGGCCCAGAGAGGUUCUGGGUCGGUCCCUGGGUCAGCAGUCAGCCACAAGCAGCUCCACGCCCAGCUCACCCAGCGCCUGGAGGAGGUCCUCCGCAAGAGGGACCGGGGUACUGGGCCCGAGGAGCGAGCUGGAGUCCAGAUCAGAGUGCCUGAGGAGCGAGGUAGGCCACAGGACCGAGGGUCCCGAGAGCGAGCUGGAGCCCAGGGAGGAAGCGGGCCUGAGGAGCAAAGUGGAGCCCAGGGAGGACGAGGGCCUGAGGAGCAAGAUGGAGCCCAGGGAGGAAGAGGGCCUGAGGAGCGAGGUGAGCCCACUGGGAGAGGUGCCAAAGUGUCACGGCAGGAUGCAGGAAGGCCUGGUCAGACCAAGGGGAAACCUAAGAGCCAGAAGUCUCAGGAAACUGAAGCCACCCCAGGGAAAGCCCCUGUCAAACCCACCCCAGCUAAAGAUAUACAGGAGAGGGCAACACCUAACUCCAAGGUUAAGGCCACUGGGUCAAACUCCAGUAAAGACAAGAGAGAGGAGGUGGUGACGGGCACCAUGAUGAGGUUAAUCUCCAGCCACUACGAGAAUAGCACAUCAUCCACCACCAUUAAAUCCCCUGUAGAGUCUGUCCCUCGCUGGCCCCUUCCACCCACCAACAGGUACUGCAGCAACAGAUCUGUUUUGGAGAAGAGUUGGUUGCCGCCAUCGAUGGUGGGAAGGGCAAAAGCACCGGGAUAUAUGAAGUCCUACACUAACUCCAAGAAGCCCUCUGCAGAACAACAAGGAGAUGACGUCUUUGCGUUCAAAGUGGAUACAUCUAUGACCACUGGGGUAAAUAAAUAUAUAUUUGAUCUACAUAAAUCCAAUUAA